Nilaparvata lugens (brown planthopper) is the source of this 863-nucleotide long non-coding RNA. RefSeq lists it as uncharacterized. The transcript has 4 exons. The record is from RefSeq and is a predicted model, not a curated record. NCBI's taxonomy places the organism in Eukaryota, Metazoa, Arthropoda, Insecta, Hemiptera, Delphacidae.
CCCCCUGGCUAGACGGAUAUGGGAGCGAAGCGAGCCUGACGGCUAGUAUCUUAUAAAUGUGCCGCCAGAUUUGAAACUAAAAAUGGCCACUCGAUAAUGAUUAUUGGUGUACUGACCUCUAGAGCAAUAUAGAAUAAUUAUCCUAUAUUUUUCGCGAUUAUUUGGAUUUGAGAAUUUCAAUCAAUUUCUCGAUUCGCUCAUAUUCAUAUUACAAUUAUUGGAACUCCAAGAUAAAUUAUAAUUUCAAAUGUUUCGGAACUGUGUUCUAUGUUGAUUGCUCAUUGUUUUGUUGAAGUCAUGGGAAAAAUUCAAUUCUAUUUGUCAGUGAUUUACAGCGUUGACAAGAGCUGCAUUUAAUUUAGUGAAAGUACGGAUAACAAUGUUUAUUCUGAAGUGCUUCGUUCUUUUGAAUACAUUUUGAGGAAAUCUUAUACUCUCUUGAGGAAUGAUAUAGUAACAGAUAUUAAGAACUUUUCUGUAUGAAGAUACUUGUGAGUGGGGAGGAAUUCCAUUUUAUAAUAAACAUUUUCAUGAGAAAUGAAGGUUAUCAUUGAACUUUAGGCUGUUCUUUUCAUCCAUUUGGUAGGAUGUGGAUAUCCUGACCCUACAUCUCACAAGAAUUGGUAUUUGCUGAAUCAAAAUGACUGUGGUUAUCCGGUGGCUCACAGACAAUUAUCCACCUCUAAUGUCCGAUACGCAGAUGGCCAAUUUCCAUGGGUAGUUCUCAUCCAUAUCAAGGACCCAGAAUUAAAUUGUGACUUUGGACAUAUUAAAUGCAUGGGCUCGAUCAUCACUGAUCGACACAUUCUAACAGCUUCCAGUUGUUUCUACAGAUAUGGUACUGAUGAAAUUCCAGCGAGAGC